This 76-nucleotide transfer RNA is filed under the name Caudoviricetes sp. Its description in RNAcentral is "tRNA-Trp". It matches the Rfam family "tRNA". From Rfam's summary of the family: Transfer RNA (tRNA) molecules are approximately 80 nucleotides in length. Their secondary structure includes four short double-helical elements and three loops (D, anti-codon, and T loops). Further hydrogen bonds mediate the characteristic L-shaped molecular structure. tRNAs have two regions of fundamental functional importance: the anti-codon, which is responsible for specific mRNA codon recognition, and the 3' end, to which the tRNAs corresponding amino acid is attached (by aminoacyl-tRNA synthetases). tRNAs cope with the degeneracy of the genetic code in two manners: having more than one tRNA (with a specific anti-codon) for a particular amino acid; and 'wobble' base-pairing, i.e. permitting non-standard base-pairing at the 3rd anti-codon position. The record is from RNAcentral. Lineage: Duplodnaviria; Heunggongvirae; Uroviricota; Caudoviricetes.
AGGGGUGUGGUGUAAUGGCUAACACAGCGGUCUCCAAAACCGUCAGAUGGUGGUUCGAAUCCAUUCACCCCUGCCA